Molecule: ribosomal RNA, 515 nt
Filed under: Nocardia fluminea
Lineage: Bacteria; Bacillati; Actinomycetota; Actinomycetes; Mycobacteriales; Nocardiaceae
Description: bacterial SSU rRNA
Rfam family: Bacterial small subunit ribosomal RNA
Source: RNAcentral
AGCCUGAUGCAGCGACGCCGCGUGCGGGAUGACGGCCUUCGGGUUGUAAACCGCUUUUGACAGGGACGAAGCGCAAGUGACUGUACCUGUAGAAUAAGGACCGGCCAACUACGUGCCAGCAGCCGCGGUAAUACGUAGGGUCCGAGCGUUGUCCGGAAUUACUGGGCGUAAAGAGCUUGUAGGCGGUUCGUCGCGUCGUUUGUGAAAACUUGGGGCUCAACCUUAAGCUUGCAGGCGAUACGGGCGGACUAGAGUACUUCAGGGGAGACUGGAAUUCCUGGUGUAGCGGUGAAAUGCGCAGAUAUCAGGAGGAACACCGGUGGCGAAGGCGGGUCUCUGGGAAGUAACUGACGCUGAGAAGCGAAAGCAUGGGUAGCAAACAGGAUUAGAUACCCUGGUAGUCCAUGCCGUAAACGGUGGGUACUAGGUGUGGGGCUCCUUCCACGGACUCCGUGCCGUAGCUAACGCAUUAAGUACCCCGCCUGGGGAGUACGGCCGCAAGGCUAAAACUCAAA